UACAGGGGGGGCAAGCGUUGUUCGGAAUUACUGGGCGUAAAGGGCUCGUAGGUGGCCAACUAAGUCAGACGUGAAAUCCCUCAGCUUAACUGGGGAACUGCGUCUGAUACUGGAUGGCUUGAGUUUGGGAGAGGGAUGCGGAAUUCCAGGUGUAGCGGUGAAGUGCGUAGAUAUCUGGAGGAACACCGGUGGCGAAGGCGGCAUCCUGGACCAAUACUGACACUGAGGAGCGAAAGCCAGGGGAGCAAACGGG
This 253-nucleotide ribosomal RNA is filed under the name uncultured bacterium. RNAcentral's name for it is "partial 16S ribosomal RNA". It matches the Rfam family "Bacterial small subunit ribosomal RNA", at positions 524 to 776 of the family's 1533-position model. The record is from RNAcentral.